UGUAGGAGUCGGCUUGCUGGCGAUAGCGGGGGAUCAGUCAAUAUCGAUGUUGGCUGAUACCGCUAUCGCCAGCAAGCCGGCUCCUGCA
RNAcentral lists this unclassified non-coding RNA (88 nucleotides) under Pseudomonas migulae. Lineage: Bacteria; Pseudomonadati; Pseudomonadota; Gammaproteobacteria; Pseudomonadales; Pseudomonadaceae. The record is from RNAcentral.